AACGAACGCUGGCGGCAUGCCUAACACAUGCAAGUCGAACGAGACCUUCGGGUCUAGUGGCGCACGGGUGCGUAACGCGUGGGAACCUGCCCUUAGGUUCGGAAUAACUCCCCGAAAGGGGUGCUAAUACCGGAUAAUGUCUUCGGACCAAAGAUUUAUCGCCUUUGGAUGGGCCCGCGUUGGAUUAGCUAGUUGGUAGGGUAAAAGCCUACCAAGGCGACGAUCCAUAGCUGGUCUGAGAGGAUGAUCAGCCACACUGGGACUGAGACACGGCCCAGACUCCUACGGGAGGCAGCAGUGGGGAAUAGAGGACAAUGGGCGAAAGCAUGAUCCAGCAAUGCCGCGUGAGUGAUGAAGGCCUUAGGGUUGUAAAGCGCUUUUACCCGGGAUGAUAAUGACAGUACCGGGAGAAUAAGCUCCGGCUAACUCCGUG
RNAcentral lists this ribosomal RNA (433 nucleotides) under uncultured bacterium. Its description in RNAcentral is "partial 16S ribosomal RNA". It matches the Rfam family "Bacterial small subunit ribosomal RNA", at positions 29 to 507 of the family's 1533-position model. The record is from RNAcentral.